GGCUGUCUUUUUUUUACAAAUAAAAGAAUUACCCUUCCUUUAUUAAAUAUCUUGAAGUAUUAAAUUCGAUAACGUAAGUAAAUAAAAACUCAAACAAAAAUAUUACUUUUUUAAGGUGUUUGUAACGACGAACAGCAAAAUCAGACACAAUACUUUGAUGAUAUUGACAUAUAACUGGGUAAUUAGCUAAUUUUAAUUAUGCAUUUAUGGAAAGUACUAAAUUCGGUGUCACUCUUAUUUUCCAUGAAUUGAAUUUCAUGAAAGAAACUUAUAUUAUUCACAUAUUUACAUCAUUUUAGUGUUACAUAUAACUUCUCUUGUAUUUAUAAAAUUAUGAAACUAUGAAACGACUUCCAUUUUAAGACGAUUGCAAUUAGUGUACAAAGCUCAAUAUAAUUGACGAUGUCAGUAAAUUUUGGUUUUGAAGACGAAAAGGUUAGCAUUUAUAAUUUCAAUUUGUUUUAUAGAAUUUGAUCAAUGAUGCAUCACUACUCAACAAAAAUAAGACGAUAUUUUAUUUGAAGGACGAUAUAAUCAAUUUUGUUUCAAACAGAUAUGUACAUAUAUAAAUCGCUUAUAACACAUAAACAGUGAAAUGGCACUGGAAACAAACAUUAGAAUGAUAGAUAUUUCCAAAAAUUCGUAAACAAAGGCUGACACAAAAAAAAGAAGAAAGAAAGGAAACACAGGAAGUGAGAAGAAGAAAGAAAAGAAAAUUGGCUAGAGCGACUAUUAUUGAUAAAACUAAAGUGAAAGGUGGUAAAUGUAUCUGGACGUUCGUCAUCAUCGAUUACGUAAAUUAAACGGAAAACGGAAAUGGCUUUUGUCUAGCAGGAAGAAAUAUGAAAAUUUUGCAACACAAUGCAACGAUACACAGAAUCUCGACCCCUUCACACACUUAUAGACGGUUUGGAUAUAAAUCACGUGGAUUUACGGCCUCAGUUAAAAAGGCUGCAAUAAAGGAAGCAGACAUGGCCGAGUAAAUCAGUGAGAGAUCGCGAAAUACAUAUCACCAUCGCUGCAACAGGGCGUGAAAAGAGCUUUA
Bombus pascuorum is the source of this 1045-nucleotide long non-coding RNA. RefSeq lists it as uncharacterized. The transcript is spliced from 3 exons. The record is from RefSeq and is a predicted model, not a curated record. NCBI's taxonomy places the organism in Eukaryota, Metazoa, Arthropoda, Insecta, Hymenoptera, Apidae.